AUUGAACGCUGGCGGCAGGCCUAACACAUGCAAGUCGAGCGGAUGAAGGGAGCUUGCUCCUGGAUUCAGCGGCGGACGGGUGAGUAAUGCCUAGGAAUCUGCCUGGUAGUGGGGGAUAACGUCCGGAAACGGGCGCUAAUACCGCAUACGUCCUGAGGGAGAAAGUGGGGGAUCUUCGGACCUCACUCUAUCAGAUGAGCCUAGGUCGGAUUAGCUAGUUGGUGGGGUAAAGGCCUACCAAGGCGACGAUCCGUAACUGGUCUGAGAGGAUGAUCAGUCACACUGGAACUGAGACACGGUCCAGACUCCUACGGGAGGCAGCAGUGGGGAAUAUUGGACAAUGGGCGAAAGCCUGAUCCAGCCAUGCCGCGUGUGUGAAGAAGGUCUUCGGAUUGUAAAGCACUUUAAGUUGGGAGGAAGGGCAGUAAGUUAAUACCUUGCUGUUUUGACGUUACCAACAGAAUAAGCACCGGCUAACUUCGU
RNAcentral lists this ribosomal RNA (483 nucleotides) under uncultured bacterium. RNAcentral's name for it is "partial 16S ribosomal RNA". It matches the Rfam family "Bacterial small subunit ribosomal RNA", at positions 30 to 506 of the family's 1533-position model. The record is from RNAcentral.